RNAcentral lists this transfer RNA (61 nucleotides) under Metastrongylus pudendotectus. RNAcentral's name for it is "tRNA-Ile". The record is from RNAcentral. Lineage: Eukaryota; Metazoa; Nematoda; Chromadorea; Rhabditida; Metastrongylidae.
AUAUAUAUAUAAAUAUAUUAUAUAAAUUUAAUUUAUUAAAUUUAUAUAAUAUUAAAUAUAA